This 351-nucleotide transfer-messenger RNA is filed under the name Eubacteriales. RNAcentral's name for it is "UBA1752 sp017615235 Standard tmRNA". It matches the Rfam family "transfer-messenger RNA". Rfam says of the family: Bacterial tmRNA, also known as 10Sa RNA or SsrA, is named for its dual tRNA and mRNA-like properties. Its role is to liberate the mRNA from a stalled ribosome. Lineage: Bacteria; Bacillati; Bacillota; Clostridia. The record is from RNAcentral. RNAcentral also lists the same sequence under 1 other name.
GGGGGCGUAAAGGUUUCGACGGGGGUUUCGAAACGGAGUAAGCGAGCAGAAGCGCAUAACUUCUUUAAAAUGUGCAAAUUAAAAUUAAACGCUAACGAUAAUACCGUAGCUCUCGCUGCCUAACGCAGCGGGCGUCGUACCGGGGAGGACUGCGGCCCCGGAUACGGCGUGACUGAGCAGUGAACGUGAACAGGGUCAAGCUUUGCCCCCUGUCAGGCAUUAAUGAAGCUACUCUUCCCGGAGGUCCGCCGACCGUCCUCCGGGCGGGGGAAUACUAAAGUUCGGCUGCGCUCGGAGAAAACACCGCGGACAGGCUUUCGGACAGGGGUUCGAUUCCCCUCGCCUCCACCA